GAAAAUAACAAUGAUUCCCCUAGUAACGGCGAGUGAAGCGGGAAGAGCUCAAGCUGAAAAUCGUUUUCUUCGGACGGCGAAUUGUGGCCUAGAGACGUUCUAUCAGUACGAACCCAGGUAUAAGUCCCUUGAAACAGGGUAUCAUAGAGGGUGAGAAUCCCGUUUGUGACUUGGAGUUUCGUGCGUACGAUGUUCGUUCAUAGAGUCGUGUUGCUUGGGAGUGCAGCACUAAAUGGGUGGUAAAUUUCAUCUAAAGCUAAAUAUCGACUGGAGACCGAUAGCGAACAAGUACCGUGAGGGAAAGAUGAAAAGCACUUUGGAAAGAGAGUUAAACAGUAUGUGAAAUUGUUGAAAGGGAAACGAUUGAAGUCAGUCAUGUCUAUUGGACUCAGCCGGUUCUUCCGGUGUAUUUCCUUUAGAUGGGGUCAACAUCAGUUUUGACCGCUGGAUAAAGGUUUGAAGAAUGUAGCACUCUCGGGUGAACUUAUAGCUUCUUGUCAUAUACAGUGGUUGGGACUGAGGAACGCAGCAUGCCUUUAUGGCCGGGAUUCGUCCACGUACAUGCUUAGGAUGUUGACAUAAUGGCUUUAAACGACCCGUCUUGUAACACGGACCAAGGAGUCUAACAUGUUUGCGAGUCUUUGGGUGGAAAACCCAUGGGCGUAAUUAAUGUAAAUGCAGGUGGGAUGCGCAAGCAGCACCAUCGACCGAUCUGGAUCAUUUAUGUGAUGGAUUUGAGUAAGAGCACAUAUGUUGGGACCCGAAAGAUGGUGAACUAUGCCUGAAUAGGGCGAAGCCAGAGGAAACUCUGGUGGAGGCUCGUAGCGGUUCUGACGUGCAAAUCGAUCGUCAAAUUUGGGUAUAGGGGCGAAAGACUAAUCGAACCAUCUAGU
RNAcentral lists this ribosomal RNA (893 nucleotides) under Ctenophora environmental sample. RNAcentral describes it as "partial Eukaryotic large subunit ribosomal RNA". It matches the Rfam family "Eukaryotic large subunit ribosomal RNA", at positions 61 to 948 of the family's 3401-position model. The record is from RNAcentral. Lineage: Eukaryota; Metazoa; Ctenophora.